This 498-nucleotide ribosomal RNA is filed under the name uncultured bacterium. Its description in RNAcentral is "partial 16S ribosomal RNA". It matches the Rfam family "Bacterial small subunit ribosomal RNA", at positions 29 to 523 of the family's 1533-position model. The record is from RNAcentral.
AUUGAACGCUGGCGGCAUGCCUUACACAUGCAAGUCGAACGGUAACGCGGGGCAACCUGGCGACGAGUGGCGAACGGGUGAGUAACGCAUCGGAACGUGCCCAGUAGUGGGGGAUAGCCCGGCGAAAGCCGGAUUAAUACCGCAUACGACCUACGGGUGAAAGAGGGGGAUCGCAAGACCUCUCGCUAUUGGAGCGGCCGAUGUCAGAUUAGGUAGUUGGUGGGGUAAAGGCCUACCAAGCCUACGAUCUGUAGCUGGUCUGAGAGGACGACCAGCCAGACGGGGACUGAGACACAGACCAGACUCUUACGGGGGUCAGCGGUGGGGAAUUUUGGACAAUGGGCGCAAGCCUGAUCCACCCAUGCGGGGUGCGGGAAAAAGGCCUUCGGGUUGUAAACCGCUUUUGUCAGGGAAGAAACGCUCUGGACUAAUACUCUGGGGUAAUGACGGUACCUGAAGAAUAAGCACCGGCUAACUACGUGCCAGCCGCCGCCGUAA